AAGCGGAGGAAAAGAAACUAACAAGGAUUCCCCUAGUAACGGCGAGUGAAGCGGGAAGAGCUCAAAUUUGUAAUCUGGCCCUUUCAGGGUCCGAGUUGUAAUCUCGAGAAGUGUUUUCCGCGCCGGACUGCAUACAAGUCUGUUGGAAUACAGCGUCAUAGUGGUGAGAGCCCCGUAACUGAUGCAGAUGCCCGGUGCUUUGUGAUACACUUUCGAAGAGUCGAGUUGUUUGGGAAUGCAGCUCAAAUUGGGUGGUAAAUUCCAUCUAAAGCUAAAUAUUGGCGAGAGACCGAUAGCGAACAAGUACCGUGAGGGAAAGAUGAAAAGCACUUUGGAAAGAGAGUUAACAGUACGUGAAAUUGUUGGAAGGGAAACGCUUGAAGUCAGACUUGCUAUUCGGAAUUCAGCCGCAAGGUGUACUUUUCGAUUUGCAGGCCAGCAUCAGUUUUUGGGGGUGGAAAAGGGUGGAGAGAAGGUAGCAACCUCGGUUGUGUUAUAGCUCUUUACUGGAUUCAUCUUUGGGGACUGAGGAUCGCAGUGCGCAAUUCAUUUUGCAAACCUUUCGAGGUUUUCGUACUUAGGAUGCUGGUGGAAUGGCUUUAAACGACCCGUCUUGAAACACGGAACCAACCU
Molecule: ribosomal RNA, 633 nt
Filed under: Glaciozyma antarctica
Lineage: Eukaryota; Fungi; Basidiomycota; Microbotryomycetes; Kriegeriales; Camptobasidiaceae
Description: partial large subunit ribosomal RNA
Rfam family: Eukaryotic large subunit ribosomal RNA
Source: RNAcentral